This 2250-nucleotide ribosomal RNA is filed under the name Triticum aestivum (bread wheat). RNAcentral's name for it is "partial small subunit ribosomal RNA". The record is from RNAcentral. Lineage: Eukaryota; Viridiplantae; Streptophyta; Magnoliopsida; Poales; Poaceae.
AUGACUACUCCAUGGGUUCGUCUUGUGCUGCUACUCCUGGCUGGCGUCGCAGCAUGCCACGCCCGCCCACAUUUUGACGGCGGUGCCGUCAUCGAUGAGACGCCCCAGCCCCUGCGGCCAUCCAUGAUCUCAUGCUCAACUGCCGGCAACUACACCGACGGAAGCAAGUACCAUGUGAACCUCGACCGGCUCCUGACGGCCAUCCCCGUGGCCGCCGACUCCAACGGCUUCUUCAACGGCACAUUCGGCGCGGUGGGCGACGAGGUCUUUGGCAUGUUCAUGUGCUACGCUGACGACGCCGACUCUGAGUGCCAGGACUGCCUCACCCGCGCCCCCGAAGGUAUCAUGAAGGUGUGUCCUCACAGCCGGACGGUCCGCGCUGUCUACAGCGCCUGCACCAUCCAAUACUCCAACAAGUCCUUCUUCUCUGUUGCUGACCUUACCGUGGUUGACACGGUCGACCUUUCGGUCGCGCCCCAGCUGGAACAAACCCCUUACCCAACUUGGAACAACAGAGACCCUGAAGGUUGGCACCAAGGAGUCGUACUCGUAGGGUACGUUGUGGACACUGCCGGUAUGAGCCACGCAAGGUUUAAGUUGAUCCAUCGGCUCAUGGUGAAGGCUUGCCAGAGGGAUGAACGGAUCGCUGAGGGCAGACAGAAGUUCACCGAUCCGGAGUGGGUGCAGGCGGUGGUGCAGUGCACGAGGGAUCUGCCGGCGAGUGAGUGCACCCGCUGCCUCACCUAUUACACCGAUCAGCUGCCACGGUUGUUCCCAAGCAACAGCGGUGGCGCCAUCAAAGGGUCAAGCUGCUACCUGCGCUACGCCAUCCUUGCUGACAAGCCGCGCCCGCGCACUGUGCGGCUUGAGAGGUACCGGUAUAGGGAGGGAUAUGAGACAGAGGAAAAUGAGCGUGAGAGGAAGAUGCUGGUGGAGCUCAGAGAAAGCCGACGAAAGGUUGUCAUCAUCACCAGCCUUAUCACCAUCUCCGUGGUGCUUUUUGUCUGCCUGAUCGUCCUAUUGGUUUGGUUCAUGUUGUACCGGUGGCAAACAUGGGUGGCAGCGGCCAGGGUUGCCAUGAGAUCAGUGUUGUACCGGUGGCGAACAUGGGUGGCAGCGGUCAGGGUUGCCAUGAGAUCUUACAUGGAAAAACCUCCUAAAGAGGCGGCCUACUUGCCCGGCAAAAGUACACGCCAAGACGAACUCGAGCAAGGGACUGGGCUGAGAAAAUUUAGGUAUGACGAGCUCGCCGCUGCCACCGACAACUUCUCUGGUAGGAACAAGCUGGGAGAAGGAGGCUUCGGUUCUGUGUACCGAGGGUUCCUCCAUGACAUGAACCUUCACAUUGCUGUGAAGAAAGUGUCCAAGAGCUCUCGUCAGGGCUGGAAGGAGUUUGUCUCCGAGGUGAAGAUCAUUAGCCGUCUCCGGCACCGGAACCUCGUGCCGCUCGUUGGAUGGUUCUAUGGCGGUGACGAUGAUGGUCUUUUGCUCGUGUAUGAACUGAUGCCCAAUGGUAGCCUGGACGCACACCUUUACAAGCUGGACCAGCUGCUGCCAUGGGCAGUCAGGUAUCAGGUCGCGCUCGGUGUGGGCUCAGCGCUGAUGUACCUGCACCAGGACACGGAGGAGCGCGUUCUGCAUAGGGACAUCAAGCCGAGCAACAUCAUGCUGGACGCGUCCUUCAAUGCCAGGCUUGGUGACUUCGGGCUUGCGAGGUUUAUCUGCGAUGGCCGGGGCUCAUUGACGACGGGUGCAGCCGGGACGCUCGGCUACAUGGACCCGAAGUGCGUGUUUGCGGGCAAAGCCAGUGUGGAAUCUGACAUCUACAGCUUUGGUGUCGUCCUGCUCGAGAUGGCGUGUGGUCGGGUGCCAGCGGUGGCCGUAGACGACGAUGACGGAGUCGUCAUCCACCUGUUGCAGUGGGUAUGGGAGUCGCAUGGCAGAGGAGCCAUCCUCGAGGCAGCCGACGCGCGGCUGGACGGCAAGUUCGACGAGAAAGAGAUGGAGUGUGUCAUGGUGGUCGGGCUCUGGUGCGGACACCCUGACCCUGCCUUGAGGCCGUCCAUCAGGCAGGCCGUCAGUGUGCUGCGGUUGGAGGUGCCGCCGCCGAGCCUCCCGGGGAAGAUGCCGGUGGCGACAUACAUGAUGCGGCCAGAGGCUGAUGAAUCUUUCGGCUCUUCCGUUGUCAGCCACGGCGGCGGCAGCGUGGACUCCGGCAUGACUCAUUCUACUCGAGGCAAAGUCGAGUAG